GGACUGGUAUUGACGCUGAGGUGGGAAAGCGUGGGGAGCAAACAGGAUUAGAUAGCCUGGUAGUCCACGCCGUAAACGAUGAUGACUAGCUGUCGGGGCGCUUGGCGUUUCGGUGGCGCAGCUAACGCGUUAAGUCAUCCGCCUGGGGAGUACGGCCGCAAGGUUAAAACUCAAAGAAAUUGACGGAGGCCUGCACAAGCGGUGGAGGAUGGGGUUUAAUUCUAAGCAACGCGCAGAACCUUACCAGCGU
Molecule: ribosomal RNA, 250 nt
Filed under: uncultured Sphingomonas sp.
Lineage: Bacteria; Pseudomonadati; Pseudomonadota; Alphaproteobacteria; Sphingomonadales; Sphingomonadaceae
Description: partial 16S rRNA
Rfam family: Bacterial small subunit ribosomal RNA
Source: RNAcentral